GGAGAGGUGUCCGAGUGGUUUAAGGUGCAGCUCUCGAAAAGCUGUGUGGGGAAACCCACCGCGAGUUCGAAUCUCGCCCUCUCCGCCA
RNAcentral lists this transfer RNA (88 nucleotides) under Candidatus Dormiibacterota bacterium. RNAcentral describes it as "tRNA-Ser". It matches the Rfam family "tRNA". Rfam says of the family: Transfer RNA (tRNA) molecules are approximately 80 nucleotides in length. Their secondary structure includes four short double-helical elements and three loops (D, anti-codon, and T loops). RNAcentral also lists the same sequence under 2 other names. The record is from RNAcentral. Lineage: Bacteria; Bacillati; Candidatus Dormiibacterota.